UACGUAGGGUGCGAGCGUUAAUCGGAAUUACUGGGCGUAAAGCGUGCGCAGGCGGUUUUGUAAGCCAGAUGUGAAAUCCCCGGGCUUAACCUGGGAAUGGCAUUUGGGACUGCAAGGCUUGAGUGCGGCAGAGGAGACUGGAAUUCUUGGUGUAGCAGUGAAAUGCGUAGAUAUCAGGAGGAACACCGAUGGCGAAGGCAGGUCUCUGGGCUGACACUGACGCUCAUGCACGAAAGCGUGGGGAGCAAACAGG
This 253-nucleotide ribosomal RNA is filed under the name uncultured bacterium. RNAcentral describes it as "partial 16S ribosomal RNA". It matches the Rfam family "Bacterial small subunit ribosomal RNA", at positions 524 to 776 of the family's 1533-position model. The record is from RNAcentral.